Molecule: long non-coding RNA, 2795 nt
Organism: Lathyrus oleraceus (garden pea)
Lineage: Eukaryota; Viridiplantae; Streptophyta; Magnoliopsida; Fabales; Fabaceae
Exons: 4
Source: RefSeq, a predicted model, not a curated record
CCCAAAGGAAAGUGAAACUUUUCAUCUGGAUGUGGCUAAAAUUUCAUUACCGCCCCAAACAUUUCCGUCAAACCCUAAAAUCUUGAAUUUUGUUUCCUUCUUCCUCUAUUCCUCCAAACCAUGGCUUCUCCAUUUUACAAAACUCACGUCUCCUCCAAAUUGCCGAAAAAUAUUAAUGAGUGAGUCUGAGUGUGCGAGGAUGGGAGAAAUUGCUCCGUGGGAUGACGGCGACGAACAAGAAAAUGGGCGUGAGUUUGGAAGGAAAGAAGAUGAUAUAUGUCCCUUAGAUGGAACGCUAUGUCCCCAAAUAUCAUAAAUAGAUGCAAAGUCCUUCCCUCCUUCAAGCUACUGCAUCUGAACCCCUUUCCAACAAGGGCAUGAAAGGCAACUCUCAUGGUCGCAUGAUCUCAACAAGGAGACUUUCCAAAAAGGGUAUUGGAGACUAAUAUACUUGUUUAUGAUAUUUGCAGCCACUAUUGGUGAAGGUUUGUGGAAACUUCACAUAUCAACAUCUCCAAAGAGGUGACUUUGGAGUUGCAAAUAACACAAGACAAUAGUGAGGAGAUGAUUGGCUUGAUGGGUACUUUGAUCAAACACACUUUAGUAACAUCAUGUUAUUUAUUAGUAGUACAGUAUUCUCUUUUGUGGGAGUUCCUUGUUCAUGAUGUGCAUUUUCAAGCAGUCUUACUAAUACAAGAUUGUGACAUUAUUCAUCUAACUAUUUUUUCAUUUCAAGUGUAAGAAUUUGAAAUUAAAAGUAAUACUAAAAUUGAUCUAAUUUUCAAUAAAUAUUCUAGACAUAUAGACUUACUGUUCUUGAACUAGAACUUAGAUCGACAAUUAUUGAACUAGAACAUAGUGAUAUGUUGAAUUUGGAAAACUACAUAUGUUGUUGUGAGAAUUGUUAAAUAGUUUGAGAUGUGAUAAAUUUGUCAUGUGCAAAGUUGUAGGUGGUGAGAGUUGAACCUUUCCAUUUUCAAAAUAUAUUUUAAACUUUGAAUAUGUAGCAUCUCGUUGUUUUAUUCAUUUUCUCACUGUACCUAUUUGCUCCACAAUAAGGACAUUGGAAUAAUGGAGGACCAAUAUCAAAAUAUCCUACCAUAGUUGAAAUUAUUAAGUUUCCUACAAAUAUGUUAUUAGGAUUGUAAUCACCAUUUAAGUAUUUCAUCCAAUCAAUAUAAAAAUCUUCAAUGUGCAUGUCAAACUUAGAUACUUCCAUAUUUGUUAUAUUUGACUCAUUUUAGUUAAAUCAAAUUGAUUAGCCAGCUAGCUAGCUAGCUACAAUGAUGAAGUUGUUUUCAAUGUUCAUGACAAGGUUGUUGAACUUGAUACUUUAUUACGGGAUCUUUCGCAAAACGGUCGGUAUUGCAGGAUUUUGGUUCUCGCCAUGGACCGUCAUCCAUCAUCGACAACAGUGUAAUUGACACAUAUUUUACAUUUUUUUAGAAAGGAUUAUAUUUAAUAUUACAUUACUUGAUAAUAUGUUAUUAUUGUUUAAUUUUUUUUUAUUUUGUUUAUAUAUUUAUUGGUUUGUAUCCUGUUUUCUUUAUAGAGUGGCAGAGCCACUAUAAUUGUCCUUAUUUGCACGUUAGUUUAUACAAGUCCAAUUGUUUUUCCUAUAUUUCAAUCUCAUGAAAUUAAAAAGUUGCUCUAAGUGGCAAGAUAAUGCAGUACAUGAGAAUAUUAAAAGCAGUCCCAACAGUAUGGUGCAUAGUUUACACAUGAUGAAUAAGGGACUUUUGAUUAAAGUGGUGCUGCUUUAUUCUCUCUUACUUGCCCAUGCAUUUCCAAGUUACAAAGAGUUUUCACAUUUAAUUCAACAACAUAGUAUAAUGCAUUAUUUGGAUUUGCCAUGAGAAGAGUAUUUCACAACAUAGCAUACAUAAUAGAUAUAUAGUCAAUAUUUGUUCAGGAAGAUGCUUUGACCAUCAAUCACAUGCCUUUGUUACUUAUUAAUCGACUAGUUAAAUUCUCUCUUAAUGCAUGGGUUUUUAUAGUGUAUAAAGUAUUAAAUUCUCUUUAUGAAGUUUAGCCACGACAGUUAUCAACCGACGCUAAAGUUUAGCUUCGAGACUUUUAUCCAAGGCCCCGACACUGACGCUAAACGGACGCUAAUUCUUUGUUUGUGUCGAUUUUUUGGCUUUUAGCGUCGGUUUUUGUCUGACGCUAAGCUCUACUUUUCUAGUAGUGACCCUAAAUCUCCCAACCCCAUUAUGUAAACCAUUAAUCCCUCUCAGAUUAUCCAAACACAAAAAUUUUCGAACAAACAUAAUGCUCAAGCAAAUAUUCAAAAUAAGUCAUGCAUCAAGAACAAAUAAAAAGGAUGACCAACCUUCAGAGAGGAGGUCUUCUCCGGUAAAAAGGUAAAAGCCUCGUCACUUUUCUGAAUCCCUCUCCUUGAUCAGUGUCUCCCUCUCCUUCUAACUCUUUGUUUCUCUUUUCUGUUUGUGUGAGGUCUGUUAGGGUGGAGGCUAAGCUCAUAUGCAUAUGGUUUCAAGAGCUUUGGUGUGUUUGGUUCGGAAUAGCAGCAGCAAUAGGCUAGGGUUUUCUUCAAUUUUUGUCCCAUUUUUUUAUUUUUUUUCUCUACUUAUUUAUAGAUUAAUUUUUAGGGUUUUGAUCAUAAUUAGCCUGAUUGUUUUAGGAAAGUUGUAAUAUGAUUGAUUAUUAAUUUUUUUAAGGUUUUUUUAUUUCUAAUGGCAACUGUUUGAUGUAAUGUAUCUGGUCCUAUUUCGUAUGUAAAUCCUGAUUUUUGAUGUAUCUGAAAAAUUGGAAAGAUUUUAUUGAUUUGAUAUUCA